RNAcentral lists this ribosomal RNA (520 nucleotides) under uncultured Entrophospora. Its description in RNAcentral is "SSU rRNA". It matches the Rfam family "Eukaryotic small subunit ribosomal RNA", at positions 569 to 1083 of the family's 1831-position model. The record is from RNAcentral. Lineage: Eukaryota; Fungi; Glomeromycota; Glomeromycetes; Entrophosporales; Entrophosporaceae.
AGCAGCCGCGGUAAUUCCAGCUCCAAUAGCGUAUAUUAAAGUUGUUGCAGUUAAAAAGCUCGUAGUUGAAUUUCGGGAUUGACACAUCGGUCGUGCCUUAAGGGGUAUGAACUGGUGUAGUUCAAUUUCUCACCUUCUGGAGAACCGCGAUGCCCUUAAUUGGGUGUCGCGGGGAACCAGGACCUUUACUUUGAAAAAUUAGAGUGUUUAAAGCAGGCAUUUUGCUUGAAUACAUUAGCAUGGAAUAAUAAAAUAGGACGGCAUGAUUCUAUUUUGUUGGUUUCUAGGAUCACCGUAAUGAUUAAUAGGGAUAGUUGGGGGCAUUAGUAUUCAAUUGUCAGAGGUGAAAUUCUUGGAUUUAUUGAAGACUAACUACUGCGAAAGCAUUUGCCAAGGAUGUUUUCAUUAAUCAAGAACGAAAGUUAGGGGAUCGAAGACGAUCAGAUACCGUCGUAGUCUUAACCAUAAACUAUGCCGACUAGGAAUCGAGACGAUGUUAAUUUUUAAUUGACUCGUUUGG